This 625-nucleotide long non-coding RNA is filed under the name Chinchilla lanigera (long-tailed chinchilla). RNAcentral describes it as "lncRNA (ENSCLAG00000022513.1)". The record is from RNAcentral. Lineage: Eukaryota; Metazoa; Chordata; Mammalia; Rodentia; Chinchillidae.
GUUUUCUCCUCCUCCCUCUUCUUCUUCCCUUGGUCUCCCUUCCCCUUCCUCUUUCUUCUCUUUUCCUUUUUUCUACCUCUUCCUCCUCCUUUUUCUUUUCUGUUGCAGAAAACGCAGAUACAUUCUCACUGAACUGCCCUGGGAACUCCUUGGAAGCAGGUGAAAGACAUUCAACAAUGAAGCAGGGCUUCAAGUGGCCGUGGCAGCUCCUCUACACCAUCUUUAUGGCUCUGUUGAAAAGCUUUUGCUCUUGGGUGCCAGGGAACGGAUCUGUCAACCCUUCCAGGGCCCUCGCAUCCAUAUGAGCCUGUGAGUGCCAUGAAGCACAGAAGAGUUCACUCUCGUGCAAAUAGCUGAAGACCUCUUGAGGAGUUAAAGAUUCAAGUUUUCAAUAUUAUCGUGCUGCCAUUAAAACCCCUGACUAUGAGUUUUGUUGCUGUGAGUUUUCAUUUAGAACUAUUGUGUAAUUAGCAGCAUCUUGGUAUACUUCAGCUCUGGAGGGUGAGAACAUUGAAACCAUCAGUCUUGCUCUAUUCAUCCAUCAUGUACAUCUGUGUACAAGAAAGAACUAUACUAUACUCUACAGUACAAAUGUUCUCAGGAAAAAAAUAAAGUGCUCAACAAG